AGUUACUCUACCACCAGAUCUCCAUUUGGUUCCUGGAUAUAGUUUCCCUUUGGUCCGUUUGCUUUGUGAUGUGAGGUGACUUACUGAUAGUUCCAUGGAUUCUCACCCACCCGUUUUGGCAAAGUUUUCUUGCUUCUCGCACAUUUAUCUUGGUUAAUCAUGGUUCACACAAGCGGAUAUAAUAUGAAGAAUCAGUUGACGAAACUCACUGAAAAUAUGUAAAUCAAUGAUUGAAGAGCUCCUA
Molecule: unclassified non-coding RNA, 244 nt
Filed under: Hevea brasiliensis (rubber tree)
Lineage: Eukaryota; Viridiplantae; Streptophyta; Magnoliopsida; Malpighiales; Euphorbiaceae
Source: RNAcentral